GUUGAACGCUGGCGGCGGGCCUAAUACAUGCAAGUAGAACGCUUAAGGGGGAGUUGGUUCUGCUGUAUGAGUCGGGAAGGGGUGAGUAACCCGUGGGUAACCUUCCUGGUGGCGGGGGAUAACUAUUGGAAAGGAUAGCUAACACCUAAGGCCAACGGUUUUGGCUGGAUAACUUUUUAAAAUGGGCAACUGCUCCACUACCAGGUGGGCUUGCGUUGUAUUAGCUGUUUGGGGAGGUAACGGCCCACCAAGGCGACGAUACAUAGCCGACCCGGGAGGGUGAUCGGGCAAAAUGGGACUGAGACACGGCCCAGACUCCUACGGGAGGCAGCAGGAGGGAAUCUUCGGAAAUGGGCGGAAGUCUGACCGAGCAAAGCCGGGUGAGUGAAGAAGGGUUUCGGAUCGUAAAGCUCUGUUGUAAGGGAAGAAAGAGUGUGAGAGUGGAAAGUUCACACUGUGACGGUAUCUUAACAGAAAGGGACGGCUAACUACGUG
RNAcentral lists this ribosomal RNA (495 nucleotides) under uncultured bacterium. RNAcentral's name for it is "partial 16S ribosomal RNA". It matches the Rfam family "Bacterial small subunit ribosomal RNA", at positions 28 to 507 of the family's 1533-position model. The record is from RNAcentral.